AGCCGUGUGGAAGCAAUCCAAAUACCGUGGAAGUGUGGAUCAUAUGUAUAUAUAGAGAGCUAACUAAUCCUCUAUUUCCAUCAUCCUUUCUUUCCAUUUUCAUUAUAUUUUAGCAAGAAUCCUACAAGAGCAGAGAGUAUGGAUGAAUUUGACAUUGAGGCGCAAAGCACAUCAGAUGGGUUGACUCAAAGGGUAGAAAACAAAAACAGACAACUACCAAA
Molecule: unclassified non-coding RNA, 221 nt
Filed under: Hevea brasiliensis (rubber tree)
Lineage: Eukaryota; Viridiplantae; Streptophyta; Magnoliopsida; Malpighiales; Euphorbiaceae
Source: RNAcentral